CCUAGAGCAGCAGAGAGCGGGCGCCGGGGCUACGCGAGCGGGGAGGCCGCGGGAGAAGGCCCCUCGCGUGUGUUUCAGGCAGGAGGCCGAUUUGGUGCAGAUUUGGAAAGGAUGGCGGACGGGCGACCAGCUUGGCUUCCGGACGCGUGACGGCGUUACAAGGGAGCAACAGAUGGUGACAGCAAAGGAGCCAAGGGUAGGCAUCAGUGUCCAGUAUAUCAGCAAUAUGGACAUCAUUGAUACACUUGUAAGCAUGGUGACCCAGAAGGCAAAGCAGCAUUUUUGCUAACAUAUCUGUCCGUGCAUAGGUGCGCCUAAAAGAAGAAAAAGAUAGCACCAGUUACUACUGAGACUAGAAUUGUGCUUGCAACACCAGCACGGAUGGUCUUUCCGGUUCUACCUACUGUUGCGGAUCUAUCAAAGAAGACGAAGAACAAAUCAUCCUCAUCAACUGGUGGGUAAGAAGGAUUGGAAAAAGAUAAUUGCUAACAAUGUUUAAACUAAUAAUGAGGUCAAUUUGACCAUCUUUUAUAUACUCCCUUCAUCCUAAAAUAUAAUUUGUUUUAGAUUAAAUAUAUAUUCAUUAGUCAACAUAUUAAUGUAGUUUGUAUAUAUUUCUACAUUAUUUAUUAUCAUCCAUUCGAACGUGGAUGAAAAAAGAGGGUUAAAAAGAACUAUAUUUUGAGACGGAUGGAGUACAAACAUUUUUAAUCAAGCUGUGUGGAUGAUACUUUUGGACCUCUGCUAUGUCUUAAUAUUUAUUUUAAACACUUAUUUUGGUUGCCACAAACAUGGUUUUCUAUGCACUGCAAAUGUAUGAUGUUUAUUGUAUUUUUUUAUUUGCACAAGCAUAUACUUUCACCGUGGUGUGGUGUCAAGGGAAAAGUAAAAUUUUAACACAUGCUGUUACAGUGGCAU
Molecule: long non-coding RNA, 918 nt
Organism: Zea mays
Lineage: Eukaryota; Viridiplantae; Streptophyta; Magnoliopsida; Poales; Poaceae
Exons: 2
Source: RefSeq, a predicted model, not a curated record